Molecule: ribosomal RNA, 253 nt
Filed under: uncultured bacterium
Lineage: Bacteria
Description: partial 16S ribosomal RNA
Rfam family: Bacterial small subunit ribosomal RNA
Source: RNAcentral
UACGUAGGGUGCGAGCGUUAAUCGGAAUUACUGGGCGUAAAGGGCUCGUAGGCGGCCAACUAAGUCAGACGUGAAAUCCCUCGGCUUAACCGGGGAACUGCAUCUGAUACUGGAUGGCUUGAGUUCGGGAGAGGGAUGCGGAAUUCCAGGUGUAGCGGUGAAAUGCGUAGAUAUCUGGAGGAACACCGGUGGCGAAGGCGGCAUCCUGGACCGAGAUUGACACUGAUGAGCGAAAGCUAGGGGAGCAAACGGG